RNAcentral lists this long non-coding RNA (1493 nucleotides) under Mus musculus (house mouse). RNAcentral describes it as "predicted gene, 47096". The record is from RNAcentral. Lineage: Eukaryota; Metazoa; Chordata; Mammalia; Rodentia; Muridae.
GAGUUUGUUGGAGCUGAGUGCUUGGGAGAGGCACCGCUUCGGAAGGGGCAAGUGCUACUUUUAUGAUCUGUUGUGACGGUUAGGCGGAGAUCAAUGGCUUUUAAUCUCAGCGCUGUCUCAGAGUAGAGUGCCUGGUUGCUUGCUUGCGGGUUACCAAUAGUUCAGAAAUAAGUUCAGCUGGGCUGAGCGUGCCAGAAGACUCUGCGCGCGCUGUGUUGCCUAGGUUCCAGGGAACCGCUUUAACCGCAGCCUGGAUGUGAGCAGCCUGGCUGGACCCUGUGAUCCUGCUGUGGUGAUACCUCCUCUUUGUUUCUAGAACAGCUACGGGGUCUGUCAACUUAAAAGCUCUUUGUCAUAUACCAUCUUGUGGGAGUUAGCGUGUACUACCCCUUUGAUGGUCUUGUAAUCAACACGUUGAAAUUUUUGUAUACCAGGGAGGCAAACUACAACCCGCCACAGGUCUAGUGCUAUCUAGUUAACUAGACCAUCAGAUUAGGACCUCAGUGUUCACCUUCAAGAGUAGCAGAGGGCCAGCCCUUAAAAUGAAAAUGAUUGUAAAGCCCUUUAGGAAGGGCAUUACAUGUGCUGCCAGAUUCACUGACAGUUUUUAAUUAAGGGGCUUUGGAUUACAGAGGUUAAACAUUACAAAGGUAAAAAAUGUAGUAGGCCUAUAAACUCGAGGCGAGAGCAGGCUACAUGAGGAGACCUUGACGUUUCUUUCCCCUAAAAAUUAAAGAAAAAAAAGAAAAAAGAGUAAAUGAGCAUACUAGGCAUUUGGUUAACACAUGAUAUUGGGUUGUGUCUACCAUACUGUCUGGUAAACCCUAGCAGUGUAUUAGCUGUUAAAUAGCCUCACAACAGCUCAAAUAUGUACUCCAAAAAUUAAGAAAGGCUUGGAAAUAACUUUAGCUCUUGAUUUUUUUAUUAUUAAUUUACUAAUAUUAAAAUACCCUGACACUAUUGAAAUGGUAGAAGGUCAGAACUAUUACCAUAGUGAGCUGUCAGCUCCAGGUUCUGACACAACAAAGAGUAGAGUUUAGAACAGUAGGCAAAGGGGGUGGUCAUUGGAUGGAAGAUUACUAAGAAAUGACAUCACGUCAAAGGUAACAGACAUUCUUGCUGAAAAGAAGCAGAUUCUUGGUGAGAGAAGAUGAGAAUGACCAGAUACCAAGAGUGGGGAUUAAUUUCAUAUCAACUUAGACGAUUCCUCCUAACACUGGACUUAGAUAGGUCCAAGGCAGAGGCCAAAAGAUGACAGGUACUGUGAAAAGUCAUAAAAGGAACCUAACUAAAUCUUGGUCAAGCAGUCAGUAACUCACCAUGCCUUCUCCCUUUGUUUCUAAUGUUUAAUAAUGUAAUUCCUUAAGUUAGAUAAUAUACCCAGAUUUUCUUCCUAUGUUAGAAAUUUCCAUGCAACUGUCAAUUCCUCCUCUCCUUCCCUUGUCAGUAAUUUUACCUCUAAUCAGAAAUAAAGCUUAAUGGAUCUUCCUUUA